CAUAUGUGCUCUGCAGCUGACU
RNAcentral lists this microRNA (22 nucleotides) under Oreochromis niloticus (Nile tilapia). RNAcentral describes it as "oni-miR-10638". Lineage: Eukaryota; Metazoa; Chordata; Actinopteri; Cichliformes; Cichlidae. The record is from miRBase by way of RNAcentral.